Molecule: long non-coding RNA, 2290 nt
Filed under: Homo sapiens (human)
Lineage: Eukaryota; Metazoa; Chordata; Mammalia; Primates; Hominidae
Description: HSALNT0366365
Source: RNAcentral
AGGCUGGGCGCGGUGGCUCAUGCUUGUAAUCCCAGCACUUUGGGAGGCCGAGGCGGGCGGGUCACGAGGGCAGGAGAUCAAGACCAUCCUGGCUAACACGGUGAAACCCUGUCUCUACUAAAAAUACAAAAAAAAUUAGCUGGGCGUGGUGGCAGGCGCCUGUAGCCCCAGCUACUCAGGAGGCUGAGGCAGGAGAAUGCUGUGAACCCAGGAGGCAGAGCUUGCAGUGAGCCGAGAUCACACCACUGCACUCCAGAGACUCCGUCUCAAAAAAAAAAAAAAGACCAGAACUAAACAACUCUCAUUAAUGACAUACAAUAUCAUUGUCCCAAAAGAAUCUACACAUAAAAUAUUGGAAAUCAGUAGACAUUUUGGCAACAUCAGAUAUAAGAUGAAUAUUUGAAAAUCCACUACAUUUCUAUAUACCAGCAACAGAAAUAUAAUUGUAAAAAAUUGUAAAAAAAACUCAUGUAACACACAACAAAACUAUAAGUUACAUAAUAACAGAUCUAAAAAAAAAGAUGCUCAGGAUACAUAAGAAAAAAUACAAUAUUUAUUAGAAGGCAUUAAUUAAAACCUAACUAAUAUGAGAGUUAUACCAUGGAUAUUUAGACUCAAUAUCACAACAAUGUCAGCACUGUCCAAACUGAGAUAUAGACUCAAUACAAUGCCAAUCAAAAUUACAAGUUGAUUCUGAUAUAUGCAACAGGCCAAAAUGCAAUGGGCCAGAAAUAGUCAAUUUACUCUUCAAGGAAAACAGUGAGAUGGCAGGACUUACCCAACAUCAGGACUUCUUAUAAAUCCAUAGCAUUUUAGACUGAAUAAUAUUAGUGCAGGUUUAGACAACUUGAUCAAUGAAUUAGGUUAAAAGCCAAAAAGCAGACCCACAGAUAUAUAGAAAUUUUUUAGAUAACAGAGAUCAAUUGUAGGUCAAUUGGAAAAAGUUGGGCUGUUCAAUAAACGAUGAUUAUUCUAGCAUAUACUCUUACAUAUACUGCUGGUGGGAUUGGAAAUUGGCAAAACAAUCUGUGAACUUGAGCAUUUACAUGCCCUAGAAUUCAUCGAUUGCACUUCUCUAGAAGAAACGCUGGUGCAUGGGAACUGCUGCAUACAGAGAUUUAUGCAAGAAUACUCACAGCAUUACCGUUUAUCACAACCAAAAAAAAACUAUAUACAAUAUGACACCAUUUUUACAAAGCUCAAAAACAAGCAAAAGUAAACAAGUAAAGUUUGUAGAUACAAACAUAUGUGAUGAAGCUUUUUUUUUUUUUUUUUUUUGAGACAGAGUUUCACUCUUGUCGCCCAGGCUAGAAUACAAUGGCGUGAUCUUGGCUCACUGCAAACUCCGCCUCCCGGGUUCAGGUGAUUCUCCUGCCUCAGCCUCCUCAGUAGCUGGGAUUACAGGCGCAUGCCACCACACCCAGCUAAUUUUGUAUUUUUAGUAGAGAUGGGGUUUCACCAUGUUGGUCAGGCUGGUCUCAAACUCCUGACCUCAGGUGAUCCACCCGCCUCAGCCUCCCAAAGCGCUGGGAUCACGCCCGGCCGAUGAAGCUACUUUUUUAAAGCAAGGAAAUAACAAACACCAAAACUCAGGGUAAUAGCUAUCUCUUCAAGGGAGACAGGCAUACAGAACAGGAAAGAACACAUAGGCACAUACAACCCUGUUGAUAAUGUUCUAAUUCUUAGAUGGGGUAGUGGGUUCACAGAUGUUCAUUUUGUUAGCAUGUCUCAUAAUACAUACUUUGCAUUUGUUAUUUUAUAUAUAAAAUUGCUAAAGAAGAAAAAACUCCCUCAAAGAAAACAGCCCCCACUUAGCAACAGUUAGGAACAGUAAGUCCUCAGUUAUAGAGGGUGAAAGACAGCUUCUUCAGCAGCCAAUUUCCAGCUGAAUUUGACUUGAGCUGCUAGAUUCGGUCAGAAGCCUGGGUGGGCAAGAUGUGAAGGAGAAUCAAGCCAAAAGGUGGAAGCUCACUCUGUACCCUGGGAAGUAGAGAAGGGCAGAGGCUUGCCCAGUGCCACACAGCUCACUGAUGGAGAGUCAGGGUUCGCGGACUGACCAGUGACGUACAAGGAGCCAGAAGGGAAGACGUGAGGGGUGGCGGGUAGCACCGAGGCCGGCCAGGCCAGGCACAGGACUGCAGCCGUCUCUGGCAUGCGGCCCAAUGCUGAUCACAAUCAGAUUCCCACCAGAGCGGAAGAACAGGACCCCGCCAGCACCUCCCAGAUCCAGAUCCAGGCUCAGACAGGAACCAAGCAGAACUGCUAUCAUCUUUGCGGAUCAGGGUUCCUG